This 532-nucleotide ribosomal RNA is filed under the name uncultured bacterium. RNAcentral's name for it is "bacterial SSU rRNA". It matches the Rfam family "Bacterial small subunit ribosomal RNA", at positions 777 to 1315 of the family's 1533-position model. The record is from RNAcentral.
AAUAGAUACCCUGGUAGUCCACGCCGUAAACGAUGGAUACUAGCUGUUUGGUAGUAAUACUGAGUGGCUAAGCGAAAGUGAUAAGUAUCCCACCUGGGGAGUACGGGCGCAAGCCUGAAACUCAAAGGAAUUGACGGGGGCCCGCACAAGCGGUGGAGCAUGUGGUUUAAUUCGAUGAUACGCGAGGAACCUUACCAGGGCUUAAAUGUAGUUUGACGUUAUUGGAAACAGUAAUUUCUUCGGACAAAUUACAAGGUGCUGCAUGGUUGUCGUCAGCUCGUGCCGUGAGGUGUCAGGUUAAGUCCUAUAACGAGCGCAACCCCUGUUGUUAGUUGCCAGCGAGUAAUGUCGGGAACUCUAGCAAGACUGCCAGUGUAAACUGCGAGGAAGGUGGGGAUGACGUCAAAUCAUCGCGGCCCUUACGUCCUGGGCCACACACGUGCUACAAUGGCCGGUACAGAGAGCAGCCACUAUGCGAAUAGGAGCGAAUCUAUAAAGCCGGUCACAGUUCGGAUCGGAGUCUGCAACUCGA